This 446-nucleotide ribosomal RNA is filed under the name uncultured bacterium. RNAcentral's name for it is "SSU rRNA". It matches the Rfam family "Bacterial small subunit ribosomal RNA", at positions 26 to 518 of the family's 1533-position model. The record is from RNAcentral.
AGAACGAACGCUGGCGGCAUGCCUAACACAUGCAAGUCGAACGCGUGACUUCGGUCACGAGUGGCGCACGGGUGAGUAACGCGUGGGAACCUGCCCCGAGGUGGGGGAUAACCGAUGGAAACGUCGGCUAAUACCGCAUACGACCUAAGGGUGAAAGAUUUAUCGCCUUGGGAGGGGCCCGCGUCGGAUUAGCUAGUUGGUGGGGUAACGGCCUACCAAGGCUAUGAUCCGUAGCUGGUCUGAGAGGAUGAUCAGCCACACUGGGACUGAGACACGGCCCAGACUCCUACGGGAGGCAGCAGUGGGGAAUAUUGGACAAUGGCGCAAGCCUGAUCCAGCAAUGCCGCGUGAGUGAUGAAGGCCUUAGGGUUGUAAAGCUCUUUCGGCGGGGACGAUGAUGACGGUACCCGCAGAGAAGCCCCGGCUAACUUCGUGCCAGCAGCCGC